RNAcentral lists this ribosomal RNA (254 nucleotides) under uncultured bacterium. RNAcentral describes it as "partial 16S ribosomal RNA". It matches the Rfam family "Bacterial small subunit ribosomal RNA", at positions 524 to 776 of the family's 1533-position model. The record is from RNAcentral.
CACGUAGGGUGCGAGCGUUGUCCGGAAUUAUUGGGCGUAAAGAGCUCGUAGGCGGUGUGUCGCGUCGGCCGUGAAAACCUGCAGCUUAACUGUGGGCUUGCGGUCGAUACGGGCAUCACUGGAGUUCGGCAGGGGAGACUGGAAUUCCUGGUGUAGCGGUGAAAUGCGCAGAUAUCAGGAGGAACACCGGUGGCGAAGGCGGCUAUCUGGACCGACAUUGACGCUGAGGCGCGAAAGCGUGGGGAGCAAACAGG